CCUACGGGUGGCAGCAGUGAGGAAUAUUGGUCAAUGGACGAGAGUCUGAACCAGCCAAGUAGCGUGAAGGAUGACUGCCCUAUGGGUUGUAAACUUCUUUUAUAUGGGAAUAAAAUGUUCCACGUGUGGGAUUUUGUAUGUACCAUAUGAAUAAGGAUCGGCUAACUCCGUGCCAGCAGCCGCGGUAAUACGGAGGAUCCGAGCGUUAUCCGGAUUUAUUGGGUUUAAAGGGAGCGUAGGUGGAUUGUUAAGUCAGUUGUGAAAGUUUGCGGCUCAACCGUAAAAUUGCAGUUGAAACUGGCAGUCUUGAGUACAGUAGAGGUGAGCGGAAUUCGUGGUGUAGCGGUGAAAUGCUUAGAUAUCACGAAGAACUCCAGUGGCGAAGGCAGUUCACUGGACUGCAACUGACACUGAGGCUCGAAAGUGUGGGUAUCAAACAGGAUUAGAUACCCGGGUAGUC
RNAcentral lists this ribosomal RNA (460 nucleotides) under uncultured bacterium. RNAcentral's name for it is "partial 16S ribosomal RNA". It matches the Rfam family "Bacterial small subunit ribosomal RNA", at positions 338 to 795 of the family's 1533-position model. The record is from RNAcentral.